This 67-nucleotide transfer RNA is filed under the name Hydraena manguao. RNAcentral's name for it is "transfer RNA-Leu". Lineage: Eukaryota; Metazoa; Arthropoda; Insecta; Coleoptera; Hydraenidae. The record is from RNAcentral.
UUAUUGUUAUUUUGGCAGAUUAGUGCAUUAAAUUUAGAAUUUAAUUAUGUUUAAACACAAAUAAUAC